CAAGUCGCACGAGAAAGGGUAGCAAUACCUGAGUAAAGUGGCGCACGGGUGAGUAACACGUGAAUAAUCUACCUCCGAGUGGGGAAUAACUGAGAGAAAUCUUAGCUAAUACCGCAUAACACUUACGAGUCAAAGCAGCAAUGCGCUUGGAGAGGAGUUCGCGGCAGAUUAGUUAGUUGGCGGGGUAAUGGCCCACCAAGACGAUGAUCUGUAUCCGGCCUGAGAGGGCGCACGGACACACUGGAACUGAAACACGGUCCAGACUCCUACGGGAGGCAGCAGUGGGGAAUUUUGCGCAAUGGGGGAAACCCUGACGCAGCAACGCCGCGUGGAGGAUGAAAUCCCUUGGGAUGUAAACUCCUUUCGAUAGGGAAGAUAAUGACGGUACCUAUAGAAGAAGCCCCGGCUAACUUCGUGCCAGCAGCCGCGGUAAUACGAGGGGGGCAAGCGUUGUUCGGAUUUAUUGGGCGUAAAGGGUGCGUAGGCGGUUUGGCAAGUCUUGUGUGAAAUCUUUGGGCUCAACCCAAAGUCUGCAUAAGAAACUGCCGGGCUUGAGUAUGGGAGAGGUGAGUGGAAUUUCCGGUGUAGCGGUGAAAUGCGUAGAUAUCGGAAGGAACACCUGUGGCGAAAGCGGCUCACUGGACCAUUACUGACGCUGAGGCACGAAAGCUAGGGGAGCAAACAGGAUUAGAUACCCUGGUAGUCCUAGCCCUAAACGAUGAUUGUUUGAUGUGGCAGGUACCCAAUCCUGCCGUGUCGAAGCUAACGCGAUAAACAAUCCGCCUGGGGAGUACGGUCGCAAGGCUGAAACUCAAAGGAAUUGACGGGGGCCCGCACAAGCGGUGGAGCAUGUGGUUUAAUUCGACGCAACGCGAAGAACCUUACCUGGGCUCGAAAUGUAGUGGAAUCCGGCA
This 914-nucleotide ribosomal RNA is filed under the name uncultured Pseudomonadota bacterium. Its description in RNAcentral is "bacterial SSU rRNA". It matches the Rfam family "Bacterial small subunit ribosomal RNA", at positions 58 to 1002 of the family's 1533-position model. The record is from RNAcentral. Lineage: Bacteria; Pseudomonadati; Pseudomonadota.